Mustela putorius (European polecat) is the source of this 40-nucleotide non-coding RNA. The record is from Rfam. Lineage: Eukaryota; Metazoa; Chordata; Mammalia; Carnivora; Mustelidae.
GGGUGGUGGCGGCUGGGGCCAGCCCCACGGGGGUGGCUGG